UGCAGUCGAGCGCGCCCUUCGGGGUGAGCGGCGGACGGGUUAGUAACGCGUGGGAAUGUACCCUUCUCUACGGAAUAGCCUUUGGAAACGAAGAGUAAUACCGUAUACGCCCUUCGGGGGAAAGAUUUAUCGGAGAAGGAUCAGCCCGCGUUAGAUUAGAUAGUUGGUGGGGUAAUGGCCUACCAAGUCUACGAUCUAUAGCUGGUUUUAGAGGAUGAUCAGCAACACUGGGACUGAGACACGGCCCAGACUCCUACGGGAGGCAGCAGUGGGGAAUCUUAGACAAUGGGCGCAAGCCUGAUCUAGCCAUGCCGCGUGAGUGAUGAAGGCCUUAGGGUCGUAAAGCUCUUUCGCCAGAGAUGAUAAUGACAGUAUCUGGUAAAGAAACCCCGGCUAACUCCGUGCCAGCAGCCGCGGUAAUACGGAGGGGGUUAGCGUUGUUCGGAAUUACUGGGCGUAAAGCGCGCGUAGGCGGACCAGAAAGUUGGGGGUGAAAUCCCGGGGCUCAACCCCGGAACUGCCUCCAAAACUCCUGAUCUAGAGUUCGAGAGAGGUGAGUGGAACUCCGAGUGUAGAGGUGAAAUUCGUAGAUAUUCGGAAGAACACCAGUGGCGAAGGCGGCUCACUGGCUCGAUACUGACGCUGAGGUGCGAAAGUGUGGGGAGCAAACAGGAUUAGAUACCCUGGUAGUCCACACCGUAAACGAUGAAUGCCAGUCGUCGGGUAGUAUACUAUUCGGUGACACACCUAACGGAUUAGGCAUUCCGCCUGGGGAGUACGGUCGCAAGA
RNAcentral lists this ribosomal RNA (789 nucleotides) under Roseovarius sp. Its description in RNAcentral is "bacterial SSU rRNA". It matches the Rfam family "Bacterial small subunit ribosomal RNA", at positions 56 to 893 of the family's 1533-position model. The record is from RNAcentral. Lineage: Bacteria; Pseudomonadati; Pseudomonadota; Alphaproteobacteria; Rhodobacterales; Roseobacteraceae.